Molecule: non-coding RNA, 969 nt
Filed under: Pan troglodytes (chimpanzee)
Lineage: Eukaryota; Metazoa; Chordata; Mammalia; Primates; Hominidae
Source: Rfam by way of RNAcentral
AAACAUAGAAGUUUGGUCCUGGCCUUUUUAUGAAUUCUCAGUAAAAUUACACAUACAAGCAUCCCCGCCCCAGUGAGAAUGCCCUCCAGAUCACCUGGUUCAAAAGAAGGAGGUAUCAAGCACGCAUAAACGCAGCUCAAAACACUUUGCUCGACCACACCUCCACGGGAAACAGCAGUGAUAAAUUUUAAGUCAUAAGUGAAAGUAUGACUAACCUAUACUAAUAUUUAGGGUUGGUAAAUUUUGUGCCAGCCACCGCGGCCAUACGAUUAACCCAAGCUAAUAAAACUCGGCAUAAAGAGUGUUUAAGGUCUGCAGUCAAUAAAGUUAAGCUCCAUCUAAAUCGUAAAAAUCUCCAGCUGAAAUAAAAUAUACUACGAAAGUGACUUUAAUGUCCUGAGGACACAACAGCUAAGGCAGAAACUGAGAUUAGAAACCCCACUAUGCUUAGCCCUAAACACAAAUAGUUAUAUUAACAAGACUGUUCGCCAGAGUACUACAUGCAGCAGCUUAAAACUCAAAGGACUUGGCUGUGCUUUAUAGCCUUCUAGAGGAGCCGGUUCUAUAAUUGAUAAACCCCGAUAUACCUCACAAUCUCUUGUCACUUAGCCUAUAUAACACCAGCUUCAGCAAACCCUAAAAUAUAUAUAUGUAUAUAUAAAGUAAACACAAGUAUGCACUAGGUCAAGGUGUAGUCCAUGGGAUGGUAAGAAAUGGACUACAUUUUCUACAUCCAGAAAAAUCUCAUAAUAACCUUCAUGAAAUCUAAAUGUUCAAAGAGGAUUUAGUAGUAAAUCAAGAACAGAGUGCUUGAUUGAAUAAGGCCAUAAGGCACGCACACAACGCCCAUCACCCUCCUCAAGUAGUGCUCUAGAAAUCACUAUUAUUAAUAAUUACUUACACACAUACAGAGGAGAUAAGUCAUAACACGGUAAGUGUACUGGAAAGUGCACCUGGAUAAACCAAAGU